CAUGCGCAGCUGCUGUGGUGUUGCUGCUGGCUUCACUUCCUGCCGGGAGACGCUGUGGGAGCGGCGGUGAUGACGUCCGGAGGCCGAGUGGUUCCUACGCCACUCAAUGUCGUCACGGCGCGCGGUGCCGCCUGCUCUCCCGGUAGCAGUUGGUGCCCCAUCCCGUGAACUUCCGCUGAGGCUGUCAAGUCCUUCUGCCAGCCGCGGACCCGAGCGCGUAACAGAUGCAAUUUCCCUGUAGGCAUUCUUAAAAGUCUGGCUUUUCAAGAAUAAUAUUAAUAAAAAAAAGACCCGUGUCUGGUGCUCCUUAGGUAUGAACACACCAAGUCUGACAAAGUUUUUGUUAGAAGGCUUUCAUUUGCAGACUCAGAACUAAAUAUUUUUUAUCAUAAAUGCACUCAAGAAGUACUCAUCAACGUCUUUAACUAUUGUACCGUAUAAGCAAUGAGAAUUUGUUCUUUUGGGUAAGUCUGUAGAAAACACUUCCCCAGGUUUGCUUCCCAACCUGCGUUCUGGAGUGCUCAAAGUGUAUUUGCUCACAGGAGCCGGCCGGAUCCAGCCCAGAGCACUGACUCACAUCACAGAUGCUGAGGGUAUAUGGGGCGGUUGUUCAGGUAUGGUUACAAGGUGGUGUGACGCCCUGUAACAACAAUUUUAAUUCAUCAGGAGAUUAUUGAAUUUUAAGGAAAUGCUCAAAAGGGUAAUGCAGGGAAGGGCCACGUUGUUUAGUGAGCCACAUCAGAAUCUUCAACGCUGAUAUAUAAUUAGCUUCAAAUAAGGCCAGGGUGGUUGGGCAAGGCAGCAAUCCUGCAGCGUCCUGGUGGUAAACUACUUCAGAAAGUAUUUUGCAAUAUUAAUGAAUCCCAGAAGUCCGGCACACCUCUCCUACAAAGAAAGGCUGAGGGAGCUGGGGGCGCUCAGCCUGGAGAAGAGAAGGUUCCAGGGAGAUCUCAUUAUGGCCUCCCAGUACCUGAAGGGAACUUGUAAUGAGGAGGGAUAAUGACUUUUUACAGGGGCAGACGGUGAUAGGACUAGGGAAAUGGUUUUAAACCGAAAGAGGGAUGAUUUAAAUUAGAUAUUAGGAGGACAUUUUUUUCUCAGAGGGUGGUUAGGCACUGGAACUGCUGCCCAGAGAAACCGUGGAUGCCCCAUCCCUGGAGGCUCUCAAGGCCAUGGGGGGGGGGGAGUUAGGAGAGAUGAGCUGUCUGAGCUGGUAGGUGGCAACCAGCCCACAGCAGGGGCUGGAACUGGAUGAUCUGUAAGAUCUCCUCCAACCCAAGACAUUCUAUGAUUCAGUGUUUCUAUAAUUCUUUUAUUUUCAUGAUACCAUUGUAUUUACUAAAUAACUAAGUAAAUACAAUAAUACCCAGCCUUCCUUGAUAUGAAGAUCUUAUGCUUUUGACUAAUUAAGUUACAAGUAUCUUCCUACUCUGGCAGACUACAUGAUCUCAGCAGCAUCACUCAGGAUACAUCUUUUAUAAUUUUAAAGAAUCAUAUACAAGUACAGAUAUGUUCCUCAGCACUGCUGGCUGCUCACCUUCACCUGCCUUGAGAUGGAGCUUAGAAAAGGCCUACUCCAGUUUUAGCAACCUAAUCAUAAGGAAGAUGUGCCCUGCCCAUGGCAGAGGAGGUUGGAAAUAAUUAGUUGUUAAAAGUCCC
Molecule: long non-coding RNA, 1659 nt
Filed under: Gallus gallus (chicken)
Lineage: Eukaryota; Metazoa; Chordata; Aves; Galliformes; Phasianidae
Source: RNAcentral